CCCGCCUACACAUGCGCUUAGCCAAUCAGAGUAAGCGCAGCACUUCCACCUUCACGGCGAGCUGGUCAGUCUUGUGUAAAUAAACCCUGCCCACACGCGAGCCGCGUCCACUUUCACAGCGAGAUUUCGGCGUUAAAAACGUUUCUCAAGUAAGUUUUGUGUUUUGGCAACUUUGUCUUAUCCUCAAGAAACGAACGAGCUGUCUGGUAAAGGCGUUGCAUUGGUAAUGGCUGCAGAAAGCGAGCACGAUGAUCCAUUCCAACAAAUUCUGCAUCAAAUCGGUGGGAAAAGUAACAUUCAUUUAAUCAGUGCUGUGACUGGACCUGAUGGAGACACCCGGGGAUUACAGGACUUUAUCGCUGAUAUGUUUAAUAACGCGGAGCACGAAGAAACCACUGGCAACAGUAACGGCGCAAUCACAAUCCAAACUAAUGUGUCACGCACUGAUCGAUCAGAACAGAGUUCACCCGAUCACUGCAGCAAGAGCCAGAAACCAGAUCCACCCAAGAACAUCGGCGCAAAGCAGAGAGCCAUUAAGUGCUCCGUGAUCAUAUUCAUCUUCAAACACGAUUAUGUGUGUAAUAAAGAGAAUCACGUGUGUUUGAGGGAGAUUCUGAAGGACGUGCGAGCUCGCGUAAAGAGAAACGCGCUCCGCCCGGCGCUGCUGGGACUCGUUCACACUGACCGUGAUCAAUCGGAGUGUCGCGAUUCAGUGGGAUUGCUGGAUCGAUCACUGCGAUCAGUGUUCACUAAUCACCCCUCACAGGCCAUAUGGACCGGCUGUUACGUCACAAAGUCCCCGGAUUUGUUGCAGGCGAUCAGAUGGCACGCCUGCAUGGCUGUGAAGUCUUCAGUGUCUGCAGAUAGCGCCGUUGGCAGUAAAAGCAGUCUGUUUUGGCCAGUGAAAUGUUUCCCGGGAAUUUUCAGGAAGAGACACAGAGGACAGGCUGAUGUAAACACCAAGAGUUGGCAGCAAGCCAAUCCACAUGCAACUGUGGAAGGAAUUCCACUGCAGAUGCGGCACACAACAGACUGACGCCAGACCGGCUUUGCUAAUAGACCAAAAUGGAUGAAGAACAAGCCUCAAACUGUGUGCCUGUGUGCUACACAGGUCAUAUACUCUUGCACUAUGACUUACCAGUCAGGAAGAUUUGGAGAAAUGAGAAAUGAAGGCGAUGAAAGGCUGCUAGAGCAUUAUUCAUGAUGCAUCUUUAAUAGCUCAGAAGGAUAUAUCACUACUAUAACAGUAGCAUACAGAGUUUAUUAGUAUUAAAUAAUCUAAUGUGACAAUUGCUGAACACUGUGAUUGACUAAUGUAUCAAUUGUUUUUUUUUUUAAAUAAAAGAAACAGAUUGUUGCAUUUACUAAUAAUUGUUGUAUUUUGUACUUCAAGCACGAUU
This 1400-nucleotide long non-coding RNA is filed under the name Sinocyclocheilus grahami. RNAcentral's name for it is "lncRNA (ENSSGRG00000049084.1)". Lineage: Eukaryota; Metazoa; Chordata; Actinopteri; Cypriniformes; Cyprinidae. The record is from RNAcentral.